UGCAUCGGCUGGGAAUCGAACCCAGGCCGCCCGCGUGGCAGGCGAGCAUUCUACCACUGAACCACCGAUUC
This 71-nucleotide transfer RNA is filed under the name Cordylochernes scorpioides. RNAcentral describes it as "tRNA-Gly". The record is from RNAcentral. Lineage: Eukaryota; Metazoa; Arthropoda; Arachnida; Pseudoscorpiones; Chernetidae.